Molecule: long non-coding RNA, 201 nt
Filed under: Mytilus galloprovincialis (Mediterranean mussel)
Lineage: Eukaryota; Metazoa; Mollusca; Bivalvia; Mytilida; Mytilidae
Source: RNAcentral
AACUAUACCAUACUCCUGCAAUUUGAAACUUUUAACCAUCAUGCUAUAAUGAUAUUACUGGCCAACAUAUUAAUCGAACUUUAUCAUGUUUAUAGAGGACUAAUUGCUGAAGUUGCAAAUAACCCAAGAAAUUAAUUUUAUUUCUAUGGGAAGGUUGUUUACACAAGUGCUUCAGUGUAGUCUUUUGUUGCAUCACACCCC